RNAcentral lists this unclassified non-coding RNA (347 nucleotides) under fungal sp. RNAcentral's name for it is "partial internal transcribed spacer region". The stretch from base 1 to 46 matches the Rfam family "Eukaryotic small subunit ribosomal RNA", at positions 1786 to 1831 of the family's 1831-position model. Lineage: Eukaryota; Fungi. The record is from RNAcentral.
AAGUCGUAACAAGGUUUCCGUAGGUGAACCUGCGGAAGGAUCAUUAACACUUAUUAUUAUCCAAUAUAAAUAAAACCAAACGCGAACAUAUCUCAUCCCUAAUUCGUUAUAAACCGGAGACGGUACGAUUAGGCUAACAAUUUUUCUAUAAUUUUUAACCCCAUUAAAUAUGAUUAUUAUUAUUUUAUUUUAUUAUAAUAACAAUCACUAUCAACUCUUCGUUUACAUGUUUUUAUUAACACACAACAACGAACUAAACUAAAAUAUACAUUUGAUCUAUAUUUUUAUUUUACGAAAUAAUAUAUAUUUAUUAAGAACAACUCUUAGCAAUGGAUAUCUUGGUUCUC